ACAGAACCCAAGUCUGUAUCGAUCCAGCCAUAUCCUCCCUAAUCAUCCGCGAUUCAAGGGAUCAGCUCCCAGUUCCGUUCCCAACAACCAUCAACAUCCCCUGUUACGUGUAGCAUCCCGUCUUCAUCGCCAACCAAACUCCCAGCUCACGAAUCAUUUCUUCCCUUCAUCCAUAUCAAAAAGAAUCCUAGGAACUCAACUUCCCAGCCGUUCCGCUUCCCCUGUUUCAUCAUUAUCCCAUCUCCCCUUCCGGAUUAACUCCCAGCUUCAUCCCAUUCAAAUUCCUUCUCCGAAGCUUCUCCAGCUAGAUUCCCUCCACGGAUGAACAUCUCCCAACGUCCAGCUUCAUCUUCACGAGAUCCCAACUCCAAGCGCCCACAUCUUCGGUAGUCCAAAGAACAAAUCCAAACCUCCACGAACAGAGUACGACGGCAGCUUCAUCCUCCCGAUUCUUCCGGCACCUCAUCUAAGCCGCGAACAGCCCAGCAUCUUCCGGAUGAGCAUUCCAUCUUCUUCUGACUUCUUCUCAUCCACAAAUCCGAACCAAAUGCAUAACAGAGCACCCUUAUCCCAAGGAACAGACCCGUAUGUGAUCUUCUCCCCUGUUUCACGCAUGGCCAGCCGUUCCCAAGCUUCACGGAAACUUCAUCUAAACUGCCAACCGAAUCGAGUUCAUCCUCCCGUGAUCCACUCAUCUCCCAGCUGCAUCCAUUUGAUUCCAGCUCC
RNAcentral lists this long non-coding RNA (726 nucleotides) under Phoenix dactylifera (date palm). RNAcentral describes it as "long non-coding RNA (PDAC_LNC007602)". Lineage: Eukaryota; Viridiplantae; Streptophyta; Magnoliopsida; Arecales; Arecaceae. The record is from RNAcentral.